RNAcentral lists this ribosomal RNA (461 nucleotides) under uncultured bacterium. RNAcentral's name for it is "partial 16S ribosomal RNA". It matches the Rfam family "Bacterial small subunit ribosomal RNA", at positions 338 to 795 of the family's 1533-position model. The record is from RNAcentral.
CCUACGGGAGACUGCAGUGAGGAAUAUUGGUCAAUGGACGAGAGUCUGAACCAGCCAAGUAGCGUGAAGGAUGACUGCCCUAUGGGUUGUAAACUUCUUUUAUAAAGGAAUAAAACGAGGCACGUGAGCCUUUUUGCAUGUACUUUAUGAAUAAGGAUCGGCUAACUCCGUGCCAGCAGCCGCGGUAAUACGGAGGAUCCGAGCGUUAUCCGGAUUUCUUGGGUUUAAAGGGAGCGUAUAUGGGUUGUUUAGUCAGUUGUGAAAGUUUGCGGCUCAACCGUAAAAUUGCAAUUGAUACUGGCAGUCUUGAGUACAGUUGAGGUAGGCGGAAUUCGUGGGGUAGCGGUGAAAUGCUUAGAUAUCACGAAGAACCCCGAUUGCGAAGGCAGCUUACUAAACUGUGACUGACAUUGAUGCUCGAAAGUGUGGGUAUCAAACAGGAUUAGAUACCCGGGGUAGUC